Molecule: long non-coding RNA, 2171 nt
Organism: Mercurialis annua (annual mercury)
Lineage: Eukaryota; Viridiplantae; Streptophyta; Magnoliopsida; Malpighiales; Euphorbiaceae
Exons: 7
Source: RefSeq, a predicted model, not a curated record
AGAUUGAAUUAUAUGAUGACUUUUUUUUUUUUCAACUUUAAUAUCUUUUCUAAUGGAAUACAAAGCUUUAACACUUAUAAUUUAUAGAAUGAACAAAAAAAUUUUAAAAAUGAGUUUGGUUAGUAGUUGAUCAAUUGAACAGAAAAAUGGCAAAAUGAAUUUUUUUCUGAACAUUUACAUCAUCAAGUGCAUUCUACAGAUUACAACUUCUACUGAUCAUCUAUAUAAUAACAAUCAAACAUAUAUCAUGAUGAGCAAGGAUUACGCAACUCCGAUUUCAUUAUGCAGCUGUAAUUUCUGAAUGCAGCUACAAUUUUCAUUACGCAGCUUACGCAACUGCAAUUUUUAGGGUUUCUGAUUCAAUAACCUCCAAAUAUCACUUGAAACUAAUUUUCCGGUGAGCAGAAUCAGUUCAUUGCCUCUCCGAAAACGCUACAGGCUUUACUAGAAUUGGACUUUUUUCUCAUCAGACAACAAAAGCUUAAGUAGACUAGAGAGAGACUGAACUUUUGAAGGAAUACAUGAAGAACAUGGACAACUAGAAAAUACUUUGGAUUGUAACGUUUGUGCCAAACCAAAUCGAAUCUGUUGGUUCAUUUCGGCUAUUCGAUUUUUAUUGACUGUGUUUAUACACUUUUUCAAUAUGGCUCAGCUGCUGUUACUUUUACUAGAAUCUAACUAAUAUAGCAAUCACUGUUUUUUUGUAUUCAAUGUUUUUGUUGUGUGCAGCCUAAAACAUUAUAUUGAUCUAUUCAAUCAAGUGAGUUGGAUCUAUAUUGAUGAUUGAUGACUUCAAGAAUUGGAAGCCUGUAAGAGUUGGUGUGUUGUUUCUCUAUAUUUUUGUUACGAAGUUUUCUUUGUCAAAGAAUUUAUGUUGAUGUUUGAGCUCCGUACCAUAAUCGGGAAAGAAGAGAGUUGACAGAGGCUUAUAUGGAGGCACUGAUUCCUGAGCCCAUCUUCUAUCAAUAGGAAACAAGUAAUUCGCAUCACAACAAGAAGUUGAUCACUCGAUGAACUUUUAGGAGGGUGGUUUCGAAACUUGCUGUAUUACAGAAGCUUUUGGGGAAUUCUGAUAUGGGAAAACACAGCUUGCUCAUACUCUCCGUCUCUACACAUGUUCCUCUCUCACCCUCCUUAGAAGCCUGUUCAAUAUAGCAUUACUUUGUAUGUACCAAUUCAGCAUGGACCCAGGAGCUGUCAUGUAUAGUGCGAGGGUCAACUUCUGUUUUCAUAUUUUUAAUACUGAAGGGACCAAUUCUGACUUGCUUUGUUUUGGAUGCGGAAGAUCAUUUUUGCUCGUGCUUAUACAUAUCAGCAUCAGUUCAACCUGCUUCUUGAUCUAGCUGCCAAAAUGUCUGAAGAGCCGUUCAGACUUCUGCUGAGUGUUUUGCUUACAUUACAUGUUAUCCUCUCAACACCAGUCUUAGGAGUCCUAGGGAGAUUGAUGGAUUUGUGUGCCUGUGGUUCAGAUUGUGGAUUCAGUGAUUGCCCUGAAUAGAUUUCACAGGAAGAGAACUUGCAGACCGCCAUCUUAUACACGUUUUCACAGACUUAUCUUUCUACAUUACUAAAAUCUUUUGCUGUCUUGUCAUUGCAAUAACGCGAUCCAUUCCCCUCUCUCAGCAAAAGUUACGACAGAUGGUGUCCUGAAUGACACAGAUAACUGAGGAGCUCAAUGUAGCAGUCUACAUGGCUAGUUUUGUGGAACAUGCAGAAUCUGAAAUUGCAUUUAUUUCAGAAGAAGAAAAGCGGAUAAUGAUUAUGGUACAGAUUACAACAUAUUAUUUUCAGGGGAAUGCUGAAAAGAAUGAAGGCUUACGCUUGUUCACAACUGUACGAGAUUUUUUGAUAAGGGUAGAGAGGGCAUGCAGAGAUGUUAGACAGAGCAGCAAGGCCGAAGAGGACAUCUAAGAAGGAGGCUCCAGAUCCUUGCCAAAACUCAGACCAUCGGCGGCAUCAAUUAUUUCCUGCCAUCGCAGGAAGACGCAUUGAUCCUUCAAGUUCAGAUGAUGAGAGCGUAUCCCCUUAGCUUGUAUUUAAUAGGUAUGACAACUUUUUUAGACAUUGUUGCUACCUUUACAUUUCUCUAUGAACUUUUUACAAAUCUUAAGAUUGCAAUUGAAUAGAACUGUAAGGAGUUUAUUUGAAUCUAUAAAUUAUUUAUGUAUCUA